AGUAAUACGUGAGUAACCUGCCCUUGACUCUGGGAUAAGCCCGGGAAACUGGGUCUAAUACUGGAUGCUACAUGUCACCGCAUGGUGGUGUGUGGAAAGGGUUUACUGGUCUUGGAUGGGCUCACGGCCUAUCAGCUUGUUGGUGAGGUAAUGGCUCACCAAGGCGACGACGGGUAGCCGGCCUGAGAGGGUGACCGGCCACACUGGGACUGAGACACGGCCCAGACUCCUACGGGAGGCAGCAGUGGGGAAUAUUGCACAAUGGGCGAAAGCCUGAUGCAGCGACGCCGCGUGAGGGAUGACGGCCUUCGGGUUGUAAACCUCUUUCAGCAGGGAAGAAGCCACAAGUGACGGUACCUGCAGAAGAAGCGCCGGCUAACUACGUGCCAGCAGCCGCGGUAAUACGUAGGGCGCAAGCGUUGUCCGGAAUUAUUGGGCGUAAAGAGCUCGUAGGCGGUUUGUCGCGUCUGCUGUGAAAGCCCGGGGCUUAACCCCGGGUGUGCAGUGGGUACGGGCAGACUAGAGUGCAGUAGGGGAGACUGGAAUUCCUGGUGUAGCGGUGGAAUGCGCAGAUAUCAGGAGGAACACCGAUGGCGAAGGCAGGUCUCUGGGCUGUUACUGACGCUGAGGAGCGAAAGCAUGGGGGAGCGAACAGGAUUAGAUACCCUGGUAGUCCAUG
RNAcentral lists this ribosomal RNA (679 nucleotides) under Kocuria sp. RNAcentral's name for it is "bacterial SSU rRNA". It matches the Rfam family "Bacterial small subunit ribosomal RNA", at positions 109 to 799 of the family's 1533-position model. Lineage: Bacteria; Bacillati; Actinomycetota; Actinomycetes; Micrococcales; Micrococcaceae. The record is from RNAcentral.